GCACAUAAAGCUAAUAAUACAUAGCGCUGGUCUUGUAAACCAGAAAUAGAGCCCGAUUCUAUGUGCA
Molecule: transfer RNA, 67 nt
Filed under: Platynereis massiliensis
Lineage: Eukaryota; Metazoa; Annelida; Polychaeta; Phyllodocida; Nereididae
Description: tRNA-Thr
Rfam family: tRNA
About the family: Transfer RNA (tRNA) molecules are approximately 80 nucleotides in length.
Source: RNAcentral